CCUACGGGGUGCAGCAGUCGAGAAUUAUUCACAAUGGGGGAAACCCUGAUGGUGCGACGCCGCGUGGGGGAAUGAAGGUCUUCGGAUUGUAAACCCCUGUCAUGUGGGAGCAAAUUAAAAAGAUAGUACCACAAGAGGAAGAGACGGCUAACUCUGUGCCAGCAGCCGCGGUAAUACAGAGGUCUCAAGCGUUGUUCGGAAUCACUGGGCGUAAGGCGUGCGUAGGCUGUUUCGUAAGUCGUGUGUGAAAGGCGCGGGCUCAACCCGCGGACGGCACAUGAUACUGCGAGACUAGAGUAAUGGAGGGGGAACCGGAAUUCUCGGUGUAGCAGUGAAAUGCGUAGAUAUCGAGAGGAACACUCGUGGCGAAGGCGGGUUCCUGGACAUUAACUGACGCUGAGGCACGAAGGCCAGGGGAGCGAAAGGGAUUAGAUACCCGGGUAGUC
RNAcentral lists this ribosomal RNA (446 nucleotides) under uncultured bacterium. RNAcentral describes it as "partial 16S ribosomal RNA". It matches the Rfam family "Bacterial small subunit ribosomal RNA", at positions 338 to 795 of the family's 1533-position model. The record is from RNAcentral.